UGUAGCCCGUGUGCUCCUGCUGGCUCCUCUAGGCUCCCAGGGCAGCUCUUCUUCCCUGCCAUGGUGUUCGCCUCCUGAGAUUCGGCUUCUCUAACUCAGGACUCAGACUCAGCCCUCUCCCUCCUCUUGUCUCCCUUACCCUCCUGGGUAUCAGCUCAGAGCACAGCCCAGGCAUCAGUGAGAUCAUUACCUGGGAGCUCGGGAGCCUCGGACUUGUCAGAAGACCUGAGUUCAGCCUCUGCAUUAGCUGUGUGUUAUUGGGCUGAUUGCUUGGCUUCUCUAAAGCUUUGAGCUCCUCAUCUAUGAAAUGAG
RNAcentral lists this long non-coding RNA (312 nucleotides) under Ictidomys tridecemlineatus (thirteen-lined ground squirrel). RNAcentral's name for it is "lncRNA (ENSSTOG00000033543.1)". The record is from RNAcentral. Lineage: Eukaryota; Metazoa; Chordata; Mammalia; Rodentia; Sciuridae.